GCGGAUCAGCAUGCCGCGGUGAAUACGUUCCCGGGCCUUGUACACACCGCCCGUCACACCAUGGGAGUCGGUAACACCCGAAGCCAGUAGCCUAACCGCAAGGAGGGCGCUGUCGAAGGUGGGAUUGAUGACUGGGGUGAAGUCGUAACAAGGUACC
This 157-nucleotide ribosomal RNA is filed under the name uncultured bacterium. Its description in RNAcentral is "partial 16S ribosomal RNA". It matches the Rfam family "Bacterial small subunit ribosomal RNA", at positions 1344 to 1500 of the family's 1533-position model. The record is from RNAcentral.